CGUGGGCCUCAUGGUUGAGAUGCCUCUGCCUGUUGCCUCAGCUGCUAUAUGAGAAACAUGACGGACCCCUGCUGGUGUUAGAGAUGAUUACUCACUGCGGAGUGCAGCAUAUCCCCCGUGGCUCCUCCUUAUCGUGACUGGGAUUCCCUUUACCCGCCACAGCAGGGUUAUUCAUAAUGUAACCUUGAUGGUCCUGAUGGUUUCCAGUGUUACUGGCAUGACAAGCAGAGCAGAUCCCAGCCGAGAUGUUUUCUAUGCCCCACAGACGAGGCAGCGCCAUAAUGGCCUGGGGUGCUUUUUCCUUCAGUGGAACAAUGGAGCUUCAGGAGGUGCAGGGGUGUCAAACAGCUGCUGGCUAUGUCCAGAUGUUGCAGAGAGCAUCCCUCAUGACUGGGGGCCGUCGUCUGUGUGGUAACAACUGGGUUUUUCAACAGGACAACGCUAAAGUACACAAUGCCGGCAGGACAAGGGACUUCUUCCAGGAGAAUAACAUCACUCUUUUGGAUCAUCCUGCGUGUUCCCCGGAUCUAAAUCCAGUUGA
Molecule: long non-coding RNA, 541 nt
Organism: Oreochromis niloticus (Nile tilapia)
Lineage: Eukaryota; Metazoa; Chordata; Actinopteri; Cichliformes; Cichlidae
Exons: 2
Source: RefSeq, a predicted model, not a curated record